AGAGAUGUGUGAUGACGCAUAUCAAUAAGCGGAGGAAAAGAAACUAACAAGGAUUCCCUUAGUAACGGCGAGUGAAGCGGGAAGAGCUCAAAUUUGAAAUCUUCAAGGUUCUACCUUGACGAAUUGUAGUUUAUAAGAAGUGUUUUCUGUUAGUAGGAGUGGCAAAAGUUCUUUGGAAUAGGACAUCAUAGAGGGUGAGAAUCCCGUAUUUGGUCAUUCCUUUCUAGCUUUGUGAUACACUUUCAACGAGUCGGAUUGUUUGGGAAUGCAGUCCAAAAUGGGUGGUAAAUUUCAUCUAAAGCUAAAUAUUGGCGAGAGACCGAUAGCGAACAAGUACCGUGAGGGAAAGAUGAAAAGAACUUUGAAAAGAGAGUUAAACAGUACGUGAAAUUGUCAAAAGGGAAGCGUUUGACACCAGUGUUGUUUUUCCGAAAAUCAAUUACGAAUGUUUUAUUUUUGAGAAGUUAUGACUUCAUCGGCUUGCUUCUCUCUUUAUGAAACUUUCUUAAUGCACUUUUCGGUUAACAAGUCAACAUCAAUUUCUUUUGUUGUAAAAGGGUAUGAGGAAGGUGGCUUUCUUUUCGGAGAAAGUGUUUAUAGCCUUGUACCUCUGCAAUCGGAGAGAUUGAGGUCUGCAGCGUAGAUCCUUCGGGGUUAGAUACAUUUGUGCUAAGUUAUAGCUUUUCAUAGACAACUUGUUGACUAUGUUAGUCUUGUAGCUUACUCGCUUAUGCUAUUUUACCUACGCUUAGGAUGUUGACGAUCAGCUGAGCGCG
This 776-nucleotide ribosomal RNA is filed under the name uncultured Neocallimastigales. Its description in RNAcentral is "partial large subunit ribosomal RNA". It matches the Rfam family "Eukaryotic large subunit ribosomal RNA", at positions 23 to 648 of the family's 3401-position model. Lineage: Eukaryota; Fungi; Neocallimastigomycota; Neocallimastigomycetes; Neocallimastigales. The record is from RNAcentral.